UACAGAGGUGGCAAGCGUUGUUCGGAAUUACUGGGCGUAAAGGGCUCGUAGGUGGCCAACUAAGUCAGACGUGAAAUCCCUCAGCUUAACUGGGGAACUGCGUCUGAUACUGGAUGGCUUGAGUUUGGGAGAGGGAUGCGGAAUUCCAGGUGUAGCGGUGAAAUGCGUAGAUAUCUGGAGGAACACCGGUGGCGAAGGCGGCAUCCUGGACCAACACUGACACUGAUGAGCGAAAGCCAGGGGAGCAAACGGG
Molecule: ribosomal RNA, 253 nt
Filed under: uncultured bacterium
Lineage: Bacteria
Description: partial 16S ribosomal RNA
Rfam family: Bacterial small subunit ribosomal RNA
Source: RNAcentral